CCUACGGGAGGCAGCAGUGGGGAAUAUUGGACAAUGGGGGGAACCCUGAUCCAGCCAUGCCGCGUGUGUGAAGAAGGCCCUCGGGUUGUAAAGCACUUUCAGUGAGGAAGAACGCCUGGUGGUUAAUACCCAUCAGGAAAGACAUCACUCACAGAAGAAGCACCGGCUAACUCCGUGCACAGCAGCCGCGGUAAUACGGAGGGUGCGAGCGUUAAUCGGAAUUACUGGGCGUAAAGCGCGCGUAGGUGGCUUGAUAAGCCGGUUGUGAAAGCCCCGGGCUCAACCUGGGAACGGCAUCCGGAACUGUCAAGCUAGAGUGCAGGAGAGGAAGGUAGAAGUCCCGGUGUAGCGGUGAAAUGCGUAGAGAUCGGGAGGAAUACCAGUGGCGAAGGCGGCCUUCUGGACUGACACUGACACUGAGGUGCGAAAGCGUGGGUAGCAAACAGGAUUAGAUACCCUGGUAGUC
This 466-nucleotide ribosomal RNA is filed under the name Vreelandella stevensii. RNAcentral's name for it is "partial 16S ribosomal RNA". It matches the Rfam family "Bacterial small subunit ribosomal RNA", at positions 338 to 795 of the family's 1533-position model. The record is from RNAcentral. Lineage: Bacteria; Pseudomonadati; Pseudomonadota; Gammaproteobacteria; Oceanospirillales; Halomonadaceae.